ACGGAGGGUGCAAGCGUUAAUCGGAAUCACUGGGCGUAAAGCGCACGUAGGCGGCCCGGUAAGUCAGGGGUGAAAUCCCACAGCCCAACUGUGGAACUGCCCUUGAUACUGCCUGGCUUGAGUACCGGAGAGGGUGGCGGAAUUCCAGGUGUAGGAGUGAAAUCCGUAGAUAUCUGGAGGAACACCGGUGGCGAAGGCGGCCACCUGGACGGUAACUGACGCUGAGGUGCGAAAGCGUGGGUAGCAAACAG
This 251-nucleotide ribosomal RNA is filed under the name uncultured bacterium. RNAcentral describes it as "partial 16S ribosomal RNA". It matches the Rfam family "Bacterial small subunit ribosomal RNA", at positions 525 to 775 of the family's 1533-position model. The record is from RNAcentral.